CACGUAAGGGGCGAGCGUUGUUCGGAAUUAUUGGGCGUAAAGGGCACGCAGGCGGCCCAACAAGUCUGAUGUGAAAUCCCCGGGCUUAACUCGGGAGACGCGUUGGAAACUGUUGAGCUAGAGUAUUAGAGGGGGAGUCGGAAUUCCUAGUGUAGGGGUGAAAUCUGUUGAUAUUAGGAAGAACACCGGUGGCGAAGGCGGACUCCUGGCUGAAUACUGACGCUGAGGUGCGAAAGCAUAGGGAGCAAACAGG
This 253-nucleotide ribosomal RNA is filed under the name uncultured bacterium. RNAcentral's name for it is "partial 16S ribosomal RNA". It matches the Rfam family "Bacterial small subunit ribosomal RNA", at positions 524 to 776 of the family's 1533-position model. The record is from RNAcentral.